CCGAGAGACACCCGAUGCAACAGCUGAAUCUCCUACUUAUACUUAGGCCACUACCCACUCAGGGCAGGGCACAAAGGCAGCGUUUCUAUUCCUGGGCAUGGCAGACACGCUCCCCGCAGAAACCAACCGGGAUCCGAGAGUCUAUAUGCCUGAUGUAUGUGGUUUCAAAAGCUCAACAUAUUUGCGAAGAACUGGGUUCAAAACGAGACAUAAAACAGCUGAGACAGCUCACAACAUCCACAACACAUUGGCCCAGGAACUGCUAAUGAAAGUGCAGUGCAGUGGUGGUCCAAGAAAUUUGACAAAGGAGACAAGAACCUUGAGGAUGAGGCGCGUAGUGGCCGGCCAUCAAAAGUUGAC
Molecule: long non-coding RNA, 360 nt
Organism: Tupaia belangeri chinensis (Chinese tree shrew)
Lineage: Eukaryota; Metazoa; Chordata; Mammalia; Scandentia; Tupaiidae
Exons: 3
Source: RefSeq, a predicted model, not a curated record